GUUAUUUUCAUCAAUUCUGUAUUUUGGAAAUUCGAAUACGUGCCCUGAAUAUCUGUAAAAUUCGGUUUACUUCUUGCAGGAAAAUCAAGCAGCAGUUUCUGUAGUGUAGUGGUUAUCACGUUUGUUCACACGCGAAAGGUCCCUGGUUCGAAACCAGGCGGAAACAACCCUCAUCGACACAUUCAAGAAGUACCAUAGUGUUAACAAAGAAUUUCAUUAUUCUCUUAUUUUGGAAAUUCGAAUACGUGCCAUGAAUAUUUUUAAAAUUCGGUUUACUCCUUGCAGCUAAUUGUAGCAGUAGUUUCUGUGGUGUAGUGGUUAUCACGUUCGCUUCACACGCGAAAGGUCCUCGGUUCGAAACCGGGCGGAAACAGAGCUCUUUGACACGUGCAGUAGGUACUGUACUUUCAACAAAGAAUAGUUAUUUUCAUAAAUUCUGUAUUUUGGAAAUUCGAAUACGUGCCCUGAAUAUCUGUAAAAUUCGGUUUACUUCUUGCAGGAAAAUCAAGCAGCAGUUUCUGUAGUGUAGUGGUUAUCACGUUUGUUCACACGCGAAAGGUCCCUGGUUCGAAACCGGGCGGAAACAACGCUCAUCGACACAUUCAAGAAGUACCAUAGUGUUAACAAAGAAUUUCAUUAUUCUCUUAUUUUGGAAAUUCGAAUACGUGCCAUGAAUAUUUUUAAAAUUCGGUUUACUCCUUGCAGAAAAAUCAAGCAGCAGUUUCUGUAGUGUAGUGGUUAUCACGUUAGCUUUACACGUGAAAGGUCCUCAGUUUGAAACCGGGAGGAAACAGUGCUCUUUGACAUGUGCAGUAGGUACUGUACUAUUAACAGAGAAUAGUUAUUUUCAUAAAUGCCUAAUUUUGGAAAUUUGAACACGUGCCAUGAAUAUCUGUAAAAUUCGGUUUACUCCUUGCAGAAAAAUCAAGCAGCAGUUUCUGUAGUGUAGUGGUUAUCACGUUCUCUUUACACGUGAAAGGUCCUCAGUUUGAAACCGGGUGGAAACAGUGCUCUUUGACAUGUGCAGUAGGUACUGUACUAUUAACAGAGAAUAGUUAUUUUCAUAAAUGCCUAAUUUUGGAAAUUUGAACACGUGCCAUGAAUAUCUGUAAAAUUCGGUUUACUCCUCGCAGCUAAAUGUAGCAGCAGUUUCUGUAGUGUAAUGGUUAUCACGUUUGUUCACACGCGAAAGGUCCCUGGUUCGAAACCAGGCGGAAACAACGCUCAUCGACACAUUCAAGAAGUACCAUAGUGUUAACAAAGAAUUUCAUUAUUCUCUUGUUUUGGAAAUUCGAAUACGUGCCAUGAAUAUUUUUUAAAUUCGGUUUACUCCUUGCAGCUAAUUGUAGCAGUAGUUUCUGUGGUGUAGUGGUUAUCACGUUCGCUUCACACGCGAAAGGUCCCUGGUUCGAAACCGGGCGGAAACAACGCUCAUUGACACAUUCUGAAGUACCGUAGUGGUAACAGAAAAUUUCAUGAAUUCUUUAUUUUGGAAAUUCGAAUACGUGCCCUGAAUAUCUGUAAAAUUCGGUUUACUUCUUGCAGGAAAAUCAAGCAGUAGUUUCUGUGGUCUAGUGGUUAUCACGUUUGCUUCACACGCCCCUUUUUGGAGUUUCAGGAAGUGGAAGAGAAGCAGGUGUCUGAGUGCUUGAGAGAGAAUAUCGUUUUUUUUGGAGGUCUAGUUGACUUAUAAGUUUGAAAGUUUGUGAGUGACUGUAGUGAAGUUUCUGUGAAACGUUUUUGCUAUUGUCCCCCAUCAGCGUGAGCUGUUUGGGGGAUAUUGCUUAAAAUAACCGGACGGACAACAUGGCUUCGACAUCAAGAAUACAAACGACGAC
This 1838-nucleotide transfer RNA is filed under the name Salmo salar (Atlantic salmon). RNAcentral describes it as "lncRNA (ENSSSAG00000105980.1)". The stretch from base 95 to 166 matches the Rfam family "tRNA". The record is from RNAcentral. Lineage: Eukaryota; Metazoa; Chordata; Actinopteri; Salmoniformes; Salmonidae.